GGCCGNUCGUUUUACACGCCUACCACACUGCACGUCGACACCGGCCGCCACGGACGACGCUGCUCUCUGGGUGGCGACGUGGCGGACCGGGUGACGGACACUACCACUCGGACACUCUACCUCUGGUCGUGGGGGACUACCCGUACGGGGACACACCCUAUAACCGCUAACACUACCCGCACUACCGACCCUACCGGGUAGACACACGCACGGGGACUACCUAUACCGGACCCUAUGCGCGACUAUAGACACUCGACGCCGACUAGUCGGGACUUACGCUAACGUAUAGGCGGGGUACACACGGGGCCCACCCACACGGGCGACCGAA
RNAcentral lists this ribosomal RNA (328 nucleotides) under uncultured bacterium. RNAcentral describes it as "partial 16S ribosomal RNA". The record is from RNAcentral.